UUGGGAUAGCUCAGUUGGUAGAGC
This 24-nucleotide transfer RNA is filed under the name Allium austroiranicum. RNAcentral's name for it is "partial tRNA-Phe". The record is from RNAcentral. Lineage: Eukaryota; Viridiplantae; Streptophyta; Magnoliopsida; Asparagales; Amaryllidaceae.